UUACGACCAUAUCAGGUUUAAACACCGGUUCUUAUACGAUCACCGAAGUUAAACAACGUCGAGAAAGUUCAGUAUCUAGAUUGGUGGCCGCUUGGGAAUCCCAG
Molecule: non-coding RNA, 104 nt
Organism: Acanthosepion pharaonis
Lineage: Eukaryota; Metazoa; Mollusca; Cephalopoda; Sepiida; Sepiidae
Source: the annotation of a GenBank genome assembly